GAUCUAUCUCCUUCCAGCCUAAAGCAACUGGUGGCAACAGCGAUAAUACACUGUCCUCCAAUCAAGCAUCAGGCACUAACCUUGUUUCUUCAAAGGAAGAUGAGUCUGUCAUCUAUGCUGAAACAGCAAAAACAUAAACAUGAAGAGAGUGGAAAGUAAAGGCUUGGACUUUGACGAGCGCAACG
Molecule: long non-coding RNA, 185 nt
Organism: Amblyraja radiata (thorny skate)
Lineage: Eukaryota; Metazoa; Chordata; Chondrichthyes; Rajiformes; Rajidae
Exons: 3
Source: RefSeq, a predicted model, not a curated record